RNAcentral lists this long non-coding RNA (843 nucleotides) under Zostera marina. RNAcentral's name for it is "long non-coding RNA (ZMAR_LNC003926)". Lineage: Eukaryota; Viridiplantae; Streptophyta; Magnoliopsida; Alismatales; Zosteraceae. The record is from RNAcentral.
UUGUGAGUUGAUCAAUAAGGUAUGAGUUUUAAAAUCUGUUCUUAUGAUUUUCUGUAAAUCUUUAGGGUUAAAGUACUAUAAUUCCAUCGAUAGAUAGAAAUAGAAAGAUUAUAUGAUUAAGUUAUGACUUAGAUAUCCUAAGUUAUGUGUUACAUGCAACAGUUCAAGAAGUGAUACAUAGAUAUCCAUUGAAGAUAAGAUUGAUAGGUUGAUUAGAGUAUGGUUGUUCCUGCAAAUCUGAUAAUAUUCAGACAUUAGAGUUGGGUUCUUUUUGCUUGUUUUGUGUUGCAUUUUAUGUCGAAAUAAACUUGUUGGAUUUAAUCUAUGUUUAUCAAUUUUCAAAGAUUUGAAGGUGGGUGUCCGUGUCCUUAUUUUAAAGGUUUUAGAUAUUUUGUGAUUGAUUUUAAUCCGUUCAAGAAGUGAUACAUAGAUGUCCAUUGAAGAUGGGAUUGAUAGGUUGAUUAGAGUUUGGUUGUUCCUGCAAAUAUGAUAAUAUUCAGAUAUUGAAAUUAUGUUCUUUUGCUUGUUUUUGUGUUGCAGUUUAUGUUGAAAUAAACUUGUUGGAUUUAAUUUAUGUUUACCAAUUUUUCAGAGAUUUGAAAUUGGGUGUUAGUGUCAUGAUUUUAAAGGUUUUAGAUAUUUUUGUGAUUGAUUUCACAACUAAUUCUUCGGGGAUUCCAUAGUAUUAUUAUCUUAUUUUCGUGAUUGAAAAUGAUUGUGUUUGUUUCUCGCCAUUUAUUUUGAUUCAUUUUUUUAGUAUUCCAGAGUUAUCGGGAGUAUUAGUAUGUGAUAAUUUAAAUUUAAAAUAUAGUGAGUUUGUACUGUUUUGAGAAGAGAAAGUGG